RNAcentral lists this ribosomal RNA (214 nucleotides) under Glomus sp. (unid). The record is from RNAcentral. Lineage: Eukaryota; Fungi; Glomeromycota; Glomeromycetes; Glomerales; Glomeraceae.
CAGUCGUACCUGCGGACAAUCAGCUUUUUGAGUGUGAUUAUGUGGUUUGUGAGGAGUUAAACCGCCUUCAUGUAUUGCAUAUUUGUGCUCUUGGGUGUACUUGCCCGUGUGGUAGGUUAACAUCAAUUUUGGUCGUCAUAAAAUGACUGGAGGAAUGUAGCUUUGGUCUCGUAUCGAAGUGUUAUAGCCUUCGAUACAAGAUCAAAGCUACAUU